Long non-coding RNA from Anolis carolinensis (green anole), 2953 nucleotides. RefSeq lists it as uncharacterized. NCBI's taxonomy places the organism in Eukaryota, Metazoa, Chordata, Lepidosauria, Squamata, Anolidae. The transcript is spliced from 2 exons. The record is from RefSeq and is a predicted model, not a curated record.
UAAGAUGAAAUCACACUUCUGCACAUCACUAACAGGAUGCCAGCCAUUGCCUUUUGUAGUUACUACAGACUUUAAAACAUUAGGAACAGAAUGAUGUGUCUGUUUUGAUUUUUCUUCGCUUUCCAAUUUAAAUUCAUUAUUAUGUGAAUGUUGAAAGUUCUAAAGAAAAGUUAUAAUAAUAUACAUGCAUGUUCACCUAACAUGUUUGUAAUCAGACUCUUUUGAAAAAUAUUAUAGAUUUUUGAACAUAUAUUUUAACUGGAGAAUUCUACGAUCUGGGAAAUAUGGAAAGGAAAUCAAUUCAUGUGUUGUUUUAGAAGUGCAAAACAACAGGAAAGGAAGUCAAAUAUUGAAGAAGAUCUUAAACAAGAUGACUAAUCAACUCAAAAAUGCAGUUUCUGAGGCUAAUGAGGAGGGGGAUAACAGCAGGGAAAAUCUGAUAGCAUGGAAAGAGUUAAUAAAAGAAGGAAGAGAGAAGUGAUUUGAAAAAAAAUCCAUAGAAAGCAAAGUUUUUUACUGUGGAGAAGAAAGGGUUAAUUUGGAGGAAUCAUAAAGGGGGAGAAGUCUGACAAAGGGGAGGCAGUCUACCCAGGAGGAAAACAGACAAAAAAAGGAGCAUUUAAGACUAAUGAAAUAAUUUCUGUGUCUCAGAGGGGUUGUUUUUUUAAAAGAAAUUGGGUGGUGUUUGGUGUUAAAAGUUGAUUAUCGGAAAGAAGUUUCAUUUUAAAUUUAAAUAGUUUAAGUGUUUAGUUGGUUUGAUUUGACUCUGGAUUAGCAUGCAUGGUUUUGGUAUGGAUGUCUAAUUUAUGAUUUGUUAAAAAGAAAUUAAUAUAGAAGGAUGAUGAUAUUAAAUGCAGAUAGGAUUUUAAAAUUGGGAUCAAUUUGUGGGGUAAAUAGAGAAAUCUAAGUUUGUCACUAUUUACAAUUAGAAAAUGGUUAGUGGCUAGGUUGUGAUGCCAGAAUUAUGUGGAAGAAGAAGACUGGCUAAAAUAAAUUAAUGUACAAGGAUGAAUUAAGAUGAUGGUAAAUGAAAAGCAUGGAUUUUAAAAUUAGGUUAUUAUAUUUGUAAGGAAUUAAAAUGCUUAGAUGGUAGGUGCAUCAAUGUUGUAAUUCUUAGAUUUAAAUGGACAAAUACAGUUAUCCUAUCAUAAGAGGAUUGGUUAACACAGUAGGCAGAUUUAUAAUAUUAAUUGUGGGUUUUGAUAAUUAGUGUGGGGGGGGGUAAAUAAAUGAUAUAAAUAAAUGAUAGAAGUAUGUAUCAUAGUCAUGUAAGUGAACUUCAUAUCAUGUUUUACCAUUAUAAAAAUGUUGAAAGUGAAUUUUACUCUUCUCGCUUUUCUUUUUCUUUCCCUUUCUUAUCUGUGCUAUGUUAUAUUUCUAGAAUUUUAUUUUCAAUUUAUUUUUUCUCUAUUUUUAUGUAUAUUAUGAUGCUGUAAAAUUCCAGUAAUUGUUUGCCAUCGGAGAGAUGAGACCAUUAGUCAGCCACUUCUUAAAUCUCCUCCAUUGAUAAAGGGAUGGCUUUUUGGUUUUUGGGAUUCCAGGGGUCUGUCUGGAAUCCACUAUAUUGUUACAUAGUAUGUAAUGGUCUUACAAGAUUCCACUUAUCAUUUGCAGUUUGAAAUUGGAAUGUGUUGUUACUAAAAAAAAGUGUUUUCAGCCAAAAAAAACGUGUUUUUUAAAUAACAAAAGCUACCUGUAUACUAUAAAAUAUGCAAAUUAUACUCAGAAUAUAUCCCACACUACAAAGGUUCUGCUUAAUGCAUGAUUCCCUUUACCGGGAUUUCCUAACACACAAGAAAGAUGUUUGUGAUUGUUUUGGAAACUUUCAAAUAGUUUUUCCAUCUUUACACUUCAUCCAGAUACUGCUAUUUGAAUAUGAUGUCCAAUAUUCAAAAGAUAGAGGAUAAGCGGUUAUGGUCUUGUUCUCCCACCACAUGUGGACUUCUCCUUCUUAUAUAUAAAAAUAUUGGCUGGUUUAACUAUGGGCCAGGGAAAGAAAUGUGGCCACUGGAGCACACACAAACUGGAGGUGCUUUAUCGGAAUUAAAGAAGCAGAUAGUUUGCAUAAAAAUAUCAUAGGACCUUGAAACCAUUACCGCUCCUAUUGAAUCUGUGAUGUCUCAGGCACCUUUGCCCCCUGACCCCUCAGCCAUUGCUGAUCAAACUGAAGAGGACUUGGGGUUUUUCCUAAGUGAGCAAGAUUCAAUUCCUUUCCACAUGCCUUCUGUUGACAUUUCUGUGCCAGAGCCAAUUAAGGAUGCCCUUGAGACGGUGCCGGUGUUCCCCGGAUCUCCGGAGGGUUUACGUUUUGAUAGAAGGGCUUUCUUCAAAACAGAUCGCUCCCAAAGGCAAAGUUUAAGAUGAAGUGUCAGAUUAGCAGAGCGAGGCGAUUGUGGCUAAACCCAGUUCUCUUGGGAAGAAUUAGGGAGUCAGGCACCUGGCGUGAUUUUGGCAGCUCAGUUCUCUUGGGAAGUUUUGGGGAGUCAAACACCUGCUUGGGGGAGCUAUGAACUUCGUUAAAAGUCUUGCGCGGAGAAUCUUCUGUGCGGUGUCAACUUAACUUCGGAUUGAAGAGUUCAUCGUCUCUCGCUCCUGAAUUCCAAGCGGCCUGCCGGCACGCUUACCUUUGAGUAGACCGGGCGUCGAAUCUCAUCCCUUGCCAAGUUUGGACUGCAUUUCAGAUCCAUCACGAACAGCCAUAGCCUUGUCUUGAAACCUUGUUCUGGACUUUUACUUCAAGUACUUUCCUGAGGAACUUUGCUCCUUACCCCACUCAAACUUCCAUUAAGUUUGGGUGUGUUUGGGUUAUUGGACUUUGGACUUUAAUACUGGACAUAAGACUUUCAUUUAUUGGACUAAUUUUGAUCUUUCCUGAAAGGUCAACUGCUUGACUAUCUAUUCUGCUUAUUUUUGUUUGAAACUUUAAUUGCUUUAAUAAAGAUAUUAGAUUGUU